GGAUUAGAUACCCUGGUAGUCCACGCCGUAAACGCUGGUCACUAGCUGUCCGGUGCAAUUGCGCACCGGGUGGUCAAGCGAAAGUGAUAAGUGACCCACCUGGGGAUUACGUUCGCAAGAAUGAAACUCAAAGGAAUUGACGGGGGCCCGCACAAGCGGUGGAGCAUGUGGUUUAAUUCGAUGAUACGCGAGGAACCUUACCAGGGCUUAAAUGCAUAUUGCCCGGGGUGGAAACACCCUUUUCUUACGACAAUUUGCAAGGUGCUGCAUGGCUGUCGUCAGCUCGUGCCG
RNAcentral lists this ribosomal RNA (291 nucleotides) under uncultured bacterium. Its description in RNAcentral is "partial 16S ribosomal RNA". It matches the Rfam family "Bacterial small subunit ribosomal RNA", at positions 775 to 1067 of the family's 1533-position model. The record is from RNAcentral.